CAGAAAAUAAGACGUUACAUUUUCGACCACAUUCUUAUAUGUACUUAUGUAGCAUUUUAUCAUUUUUUAAUUGAAGCACUUGCUAUUUAUCUAAAUACACCGUCACUUUUUAUUAUGGGACUUCGUCUCACAGUUCCUUAGCAAAUCACCUGGAGGACAUCCGUUUUUGGGCGAAUAAAUUGGCAAGCAUUCAGUUUGGUUUUAUUAGAAGAAAGAGAAACAAAUUAGCACAUGUCUUAGCGAAAUAUGAUUGUACCUAUUCUUAUUUUUAUUUUGGUUCUGGUUCUUUACCUAUUUGGCUUGAUCGAUACUUUUGUAAUGACUCUAAUUGAUUAAUAUAAUUAUUUUGACGUAAAAAAAAAAUCAAAGGCCGCUUUGUGCACAACUAAGGAAAGCUUGGGCUUUAAGGCUACAUACAUAGUUUAAAGGCCCUAUAGACGACAUAUGCUUUAAAGUUCAAACCAACUAAUUAAUCAAAUGUCUAUUUUCACACACAAAAAAAAAAUAACUAAUCAAUCAAAUGCACAUUAAUUUUUU
Molecule: small RNA, 537 nt
Filed under: Arabidopsis thaliana (thale cress)
Lineage: Eukaryota; Viridiplantae; Streptophyta; Magnoliopsida; Brassicales; Brassicaceae
Description: ATSL024980
Source: RNAcentral